UGAGGAAUUUUCGUCAAUGGGGGAAACCCUGAACGAGCAACGCCGCGUGGAGGACGAAGACCUUCGGGUUGUAAACCUCUCUUCGGGGGGAAGAAGUUCUGACGGUACCCUCGGAAUAAGCCUCGGCUAACUACGUG
This 137-nucleotide ribosomal RNA is filed under the name uncultured bacterium. Its description in RNAcentral is "partial 16S ribosomal RNA". It matches the Rfam family "Bacterial small subunit ribosomal RNA", at positions 355 to 507 of the family's 1533-position model. The record is from RNAcentral.